GCCGGUAUCGCUCAGUUGGUAGAGCAGGGGACUCAAAAUCUUCGUGUCACCGGUUCAAAUCUGCUAUUGACA
RNAcentral lists this transfer RNA (72 nucleotides) under Cucurbita moschata (crookneck pumpkin). RNAcentral describes it as "tRNA-Leu". It matches the Rfam family "tRNA". Rfam says of the family: Transfer RNA (tRNA) molecules are approximately 80 nucleotides in length. Their secondary structure includes four short double-helical elements and three loops (D, anti-codon, and T loops). Lineage: Eukaryota; Viridiplantae; Streptophyta; Magnoliopsida; Cucurbitales; Cucurbitaceae. The record is from RNAcentral.